CUUCCGGAGCUAACGCGUUAAGUAGACCGCCUGGGGAGUACGGCCGCAAGGUUAAAACUCAAAUGAAUUGACGGGGGCCCGCACAAGCGGUGGAGCAUGUGGUUUAAUUCGAUGCAACGCGAAGAACCUUACCUGGUCUUGACAUCCACGGAAGAAUYCAGAGAUGGAUUUGUGCCUUCGGGAACCGUGAGACAGGUGCUGCAUGGCUGUCGUCAGCUCGUGUUGUGAAAUGUUGGGUUAAGUCCCGCAACGAGCGCAACCCUUAUCCUUUGUUGCCAGCGGUCCGGCCGGGAACUCAAAGGAGACUGCCAGUGAUAAACUGGAGGAAGGUGGGG
RNAcentral lists this ribosomal RNA (335 nucleotides) under Salmonella enterica subsp. enterica serovar Panama. RNAcentral describes it as "bacterial SSU rRNA". Lineage: Bacteria; Pseudomonadati; Pseudomonadota; Gammaproteobacteria; Enterobacterales; Enterobacteriaceae. The record is from RNAcentral.